Molecule: ribosomal RNA, 468 nt
Filed under: uncultured bacterium
Lineage: Bacteria
Description: partial 16S ribosomal RNA
Rfam family: Bacterial small subunit ribosomal RNA
Source: RNAcentral
GACGAACGCUGGCGGCGUGCUUAACACAUGCAAGUCGAACGGAAAGGCCCUGCUUUUGUGGGGUGCUCGAGUGGCGAACGGGUGAGUAACACGUGAGUAACCUGCCCUUGACUUUGGGAUAACUUCAGGAAACUGGGGCUAAUACCGGAUAGGAGCUCCUGCUGCAUGGUGGGGGUUGGAAAGUUUCGGCGGUUGGGGAUGGACUCGCGGCUUAUCAGCUUGUUGGUGGGGUAGUGGCUUACCAAGGCUUUGACGGGUAGCCGGCCUGAGAGGGUGACCGGCCACAUUGCGACUGAGAUACGGCCCAGACUCCUACGGGAGGCAGCAGUGGGGAAUAUUGCACAAUGGGCGGAAGCCUGAGGCAGCAACGCCGCGUGCGGGAUGACGGCCUUCGGGUUGUAAACCGCUUUCGCCUGUGACGAAGCGUGAGUGACGGUAAUGGGUAAAGAAGCACCGGCUAACUACGUG